This 253-nucleotide ribosomal RNA is filed under the name uncultured bacterium. RNAcentral describes it as "partial 16S ribosomal RNA". It matches the Rfam family "Bacterial small subunit ribosomal RNA", at positions 524 to 776 of the family's 1533-position model. The record is from RNAcentral.
UACAGAGGGUGCAAGCGUUGUUCGGAAUUACUGGGCGUAAAGCGUGCGUAGGUUGUAUUGAGAGUCACGGGUGAAAGCCCCAAGCUUAACUUGGGAACUGCCUGUGAGACCUCAGUACUAGAGUAUGAGAGAGGAUUGUGGAAUACCUGGUGUAGCGGUGAAAUGCGUAGAGAUCAGGUGGAACACCGGUGGCGAAGGCGGCAAUCUGGCUCAUUACUGACACUCAGGCACGAAAGCGUGGGUAGCAAACAGG